CCUACGGGAGGCUGCAGUGGGGAAUAUUGGACAAUGGGGGGAACCCUGAUCCAGCCAUGCCGCGUGUGUGAAGAAGGCCCUCGGGUUGUAAAGCACUUUCAGUGAGGAAGAACGCCUGGUGGUUAAUACCCAUCAGGAAAGACAUCACUCACAGAAGAAGCACCGGCUAACUCCGUGCCAGCAGCCGCGGUAAUACGGAGGGUGCGAGCGUUAAUCGGAAUUACUGGGCGUAAAGCGCGCGUAGGUGGCUUGAUAAGCCGGUUGUGAAAGCCCCGGGCUCAACCUGGGAACGGCAUCCGGAACUGUCAAGCUAGAGUGCAGGAGAGGAAGGUAGAAUUCCCGGUGUAGCGGUGAAAUGCGUAGAGAUCGGGAGGAAUACCAGUGGCGAAGGCGGCCUUCUGGACUGACACUGACACUGAGGUGUGAAAGCGUGGGUAGCAAACAGGAUUAGAUACCCCAGUAGUC
RNAcentral lists this ribosomal RNA (465 nucleotides) under Vreelandella stevensii. RNAcentral describes it as "partial 16S ribosomal RNA". It matches the Rfam family "Bacterial small subunit ribosomal RNA", at positions 338 to 795 of the family's 1533-position model. The record is from RNAcentral. Lineage: Bacteria; Pseudomonadati; Pseudomonadota; Gammaproteobacteria; Oceanospirillales; Halomonadaceae.